Molecule: long non-coding RNA, 634 nt
Organism: Trifolium pratense (red clover)
Lineage: Eukaryota; Viridiplantae; Streptophyta; Magnoliopsida; Fabales; Fabaceae
Exons: 4
Source: RefSeq, a predicted model, not a curated record
CUCAUUCUCUUCCCCCUUCUUUCCUUCACCACUAGGCAGAGAACUCAAUGACCAAUCUUCAUUUACUCCAUUGUCAUUUUCUUAGCAUUGACUUCUUGAACCUGAAAAUGAUAAAACUAAUUGAUUAGAUUCAAUGUACAAUCAAUUUUUAGUGAAGCAUGAAUGUUAGACUCAAUUCUUCAAAGGAUCUUGCUUGUGUUUCACAAAGCCUCACAUUUUCAAAGAUCUUGCUUGUGUUUCACAAAGCUAUGGCGAAGGAAGGAAGGAGUGGUUGAUAACAACUCAUGGAGUCUACACACAACCAAUAGAUGACAGUGACUUUAAGUAAAAUGGUAACAUAAUGAGAGGACAAAGUUCAAAGGCUAUUGGAAUAUCCUUAAUUAUUUAAACUCAGCAGAAAGAUAUGCAGACACAAGUCAUUGAAAUAUCCACUCCUUACUACAAUUCUUAUACUUCUAAAAUUCCUUAUUCUUUGAUAGAUAAUAUAUAUAAAGUCCAUAUGUUAUAAACACUAGAUGAACAAAGCAUGAGGCCAUGAAUAAUUACAAUGAAAACAUGGCAUAUAAUGAGAUUGCCUGUAUUGCUUCCACCUUUAUAACACCCUCAUAUUCAAAUAGGGAAGUAAACUUAUAGU